CCUACGGGGGGCAGCAGUGAGGAAUAUUGGUCAAUGGACGCAAGUCUGAACCAGCCAUGCCGCGUGCAGGAAGACGGCUCUAUGAGUUGUAAACUGCUUUUGUACGGGGGUAAACGCAGAUACGCGUAUCUGUCUGAAAGUAUCGUACGAAUAAGGAUCGGCUAACUCCGUGCCAGCCGCCGCGGUAAUACGGAGGAUUCAAGCGUUAUUCGGAUUUAUUGGGUUUAAAGGGUGGGUAGGCGGUCGGUUAAGUUAGUGGUGAAAACCCGAGGCUCAACUUCGGAAUUGCCUGUGAUACUGGUUGUCUAGAGAGUAGGUGCGGUAGGCGGAAUGUAUGGUGUAGCGGUGAAAUGCUUAGAGAUCAUACAGAACACCGAUUGCGAAGGCAGCUUACCAGGCUACUUCUGACGUUGAGGCACGAAAGCGUGGGGAGCAAACAGGAUUAGAUACCCCUGUAGUC
This 460-nucleotide ribosomal RNA is filed under the name uncultured bacterium. Its description in RNAcentral is "partial 16S ribosomal RNA". It matches the Rfam family "Bacterial small subunit ribosomal RNA", at positions 338 to 795 of the family's 1533-position model. The record is from RNAcentral.